Molecule: ribosomal RNA, 441 nt
Filed under: uncultured bacterium
Lineage: Bacteria
Description: partial 16S ribosomal RNA
Rfam family: Bacterial small subunit ribosomal RNA
Source: RNAcentral
CCUACGGGCGGCAGCAGUAGGGAAUUUUGCACAAUGGGCGAAAGCCUGAUGCAGCAACGCCGCGUGAUUGAUGAAGCCCUUCGGGGUGUAAAGCUCUGUCAGUGGGGACGAAACUUGACGGUACUGACUGAGGAAGCACCGGCUAACUCCGUGCCAGCAGCCGCGGUAAUACGGAGGGUGCAAGCGUUGUCCGGAAUUAUUGGGCGUAAGGGGGUCGUAGGAGGCAAAAUAAGUCUGGUGUUAAAUGCAGAAGCUAAACUUCUGUUCGGCAUUGGAUACUGGUAAGCUUGAAUGCGGUGGAGGGAAAGGGAAUUCCUGGUGGAGCGGUGAAAUGCGUAGAUAUCAGGAAGAACAUCGGUGGCGGAAGCGCUUUACUGGGCCGUAAUUGACGCUGAGGAACGAAAGCCGGGGUAGCGAAUGGGAUUAGAUACCCGGGUAGUC